ACUCAAAUGAAUUGACGGGGGCCCGCACAAGCGGUGGAGCAUGUGGUUUAAUUCGACGCAACGCGCAGAACCUUACCAGCCCUUGACAUCCCGGUCGCGGUUUCCAGAGACGGAGACCUUCAGUUCGGCUGGACCGGAGACAGGUGCUGCAUGGCUGUCGUCAGCUCGUGUCGUGAGAUGUUGGGUUAAGUCCCGCAACGAGCGCAACCCCCGUCUUUAGUUGCCAUCAUUCAGUUGGGCACUCUAAAGAGACUGCCGGUGAUAAGCCGCGAGGAAGGUGGGGAUGACGUCAAGUCCUCAUGGCCCUUACGGGCUGGGCUACACACGUGCUACAAUGGCGGUGACAAUGGGACGCGAAGGGGCAACCCCUAGCAAAUCUCAAAAAGCCGUCUCAGUUCGGAUUGGGCUCUGCAACUCGAGCCCAUGAAGUUGGAAUCGCUAGUAAUCGUGGAUCAGCACGCCACGGUGAAUACGUUCCCGGGCCUUGCACACACCGCCCGU
RNAcentral lists this ribosomal RNA (501 nucleotides) under uncultured bacterium. RNAcentral's name for it is "partial 16S ribosomal RNA". It matches the Rfam family "Bacterial small subunit ribosomal RNA", at positions 899 to 1397 of the family's 1533-position model. The record is from RNAcentral.